This 103-nucleotide small nuclear RNA is filed under the name Octodon degus (degu). Lineage: Eukaryota; Metazoa; Chordata; Mammalia; Rodentia; Octodontidae. The record is from RNAcentral.
UUAAAAAUGCUUUCCUGGUACUCACUUUGGAACAAUACAGAGAAGGUUAACGUGGCCCCUGCACAAGGGUGACACACACAUUUGUGGAGUGCUCUAUACUGUA